GAUGGUGCUGCAAGAAGAGCCUACAAACAUUUCCGAGAUUGCAUUUCGUUCGAUGCAACAUAUCUCACUAAUAUGUACAAGAUGCCCUGCGCUCCAUUCAUAAGAAUAAGUAACCACAAUCAGUCAUUGAAGUUCGGUUGCGGGCUCGUUCGGAAUGAAGAUACGGAUGGGUACACUUGGCUGUUCAAAACCUUCUUGGAGUGCAUGGGUGGACUUGCUCCGAUGAACAUAAUAACAGACCAGGAUUUUAGCAUGCGUGCAGGCAUAAAGGAGGUCUUUCCGUUGGCAGUGCAUAGGCACUACAUGUGGCAUAUUAUUAAGAAGGAUGAGGAGACGCUAGGACCAUUCUUUGCUGACCAUCCAGAUCUGCACAAGGCAUUCGAGUUUUGCGUGGACCACAGCUUGACGGUGGAGGAGUUUGAACGGAGCUGGACAGCUAUGAUUGAAACAUGUCAAGUCCAAGACAACAAGACGCUUACUAGCCUAUGGGAGAAGCGAAUGUACUGGGUGCCGGCCUACUUCAUGCAGUGCUUCUUCCCAUUUCUGCAGACUACGCAGCGCAGCGAGGGGUUCAAUGCUGUUCUGAAGCGGUACGUGAGCCCUGGCAACUCAUUGCUGCAGUUUGCCAAGCAAUACAUAGCUUUGCAACAUAAAAUACUGGGAUCUGAGCUACAACAAGAAGCAAACACCACGCUCAAGCAGCCUAAAUUGCUAACAUAUUUACCGAUGGAGAGGCAGAUGAGCAAGACAUAUACCAACAAGAUUUUUAACAAGUAA
RNAcentral lists this ribosomal RNA (777 nucleotides) under Triticum aestivum (bread wheat). RNAcentral's name for it is "partial small subunit ribosomal RNA". Lineage: Eukaryota; Viridiplantae; Streptophyta; Magnoliopsida; Poales; Poaceae. The record is from RNAcentral.